UCUGUGACAAAGAUUAUCCAGAGAAGCCACCAAGUGUACGAUUUCAUACACGCAUCAAGAUGACUUGUGUCAAUCAUGAAACUGGAGUGGUUGAUUCAAAGAAGUUUGGAAUGCUGGCAAAUUGGCAGCGGGAUUUCACCAUGGAAAACAUAUUGAUGCAGCUGAAGAAGGAAAUGACAGCCUCACACAACCGGAAGCUUGUCCAACCACCCGAAGGUACAUAUUUCUAAUGGGAGGCAACUUUGAAGAUUGUCACUGAUCUGUUGAAACGAUGGAUUGGCAUAGGCUGAAUCUCUUUUAUACAUGUACAAUAUUUCCAUUAUUGACAACUUAAGAUAUUUCCAUUAUGGACAACUAGAGGAAAGAAUGGAAAAGUGGUCCUCAAGCUCUUUAGUGUCACUCUCCUCUAUUGUUUUUCUUUUGGAUGAUUCUUGUUUAAACAUUUCUUAUUGAGAAUUUUAUCCAUGUAUUGAGUGAAAUGCAAUUAAAAUCAGUUAUGGAGUGCUAAUUUUCUGAUACAGCUCAUCCAGAAUUCAUAUUUCUGCAAGAACCAGCUAUUGUUCUCUCUAUUCCUCGAUGUACAUUUGUAUUGUUCUCUCUUUUCUGUACUUUAUUUAAUCAUUGUUUUUUUUUACUUGGCAGAACAGAUGCUCAACUUAAGUUGCUAGUAGCUGCUGGCAUGUUUAAAUGUUAAAGUUUUUAACAGGUUGAGGACUAGCAAAAGAAAGAUCAAAAGGCCAAUAAAGUACAUUAACUACCGGGAUUAUACACGGUAAUUACUUUUGCUUAUGUCCUAAGUUUGGGAUCAUAGAGAUUACAUUUCGAAAUAUGACUGCUCUACAAGGGCAAAUCACAUAGUUCCAGAUGGAACUUUGUUUUGCUUCUUUCUUUUGCCUCUGCCAAAAUUCAUGAUUUGCCUUAAGAAAAUCUGUCUUAGUUAUUAUGGUAUAGGUGAUAUGUGGGCUGAGUUUCAAAUAAGUUUAUAGCUUAGAAAAUGGAAUCAAUAAUACUGUGGUAUGGUAUUUAUGCAAUUGAGAACUUUCUAUGAAAAGGCUAGAAGGUUUUUGGUGCCAUGCCCUCUACUUAUUACGUUCUAACUUUUGCUUGUGUUUCCAAACAACUGAUCUUGUAAGCUUUUUCACUAAUAAUUUGCUUACUGUCUCCAACUGUGUGUGAUUCAAAUUCAUUUAUAUACAUGUGGGAAUUUGAUUUUGUCUACCCCAUAAAGAAAAUGCAGUAAUAUAAGUUCUCUUCUUAGUUGAAUUGAGUGGUAAAGCAUAUAUUUCUUCUUUGUUAAUUGAUAUUAUGCAAUCUUGACAAGAUUGGACAGCUAUCUACAACAAUAUUGUUGAUUUUCUGGUAUAGGUCUUGUGAUUGAAGACUGAAUUUUCUGCUUUAGUCAUAUUGUUGAUUUUCUGAAACUAUUGUAAUGUUGGUACUUCUACGCAUCAAUUUUAGCUUCAUGAGUAUUAAAAACUAAAAAGACAUGCUAAGCAGCAGCUUGAGUUUCUUCAGGUGUUUCCUCUUCGUCAUCAGUCUAUAUACAUGUUCCAUGCUCAUGAUGCUCCUCUAGUUUUGUAGAUAAACUACAUUUAGGUGGUUCCAGACUUCCAGUGUUAUCUGAUCAUGAAAGUCCUACUGUAGGUGGAGGGUUCCCCUGUACAUUACUUAAUGAAUGUUGUGUUAUUUGUUUUCUUUAGAUAAAGAUCUGUACAUUUGUAUGUAUGUCUAUUGUCAUCUAGGAUUAGAGAAGAUUAGAAUGUAUAACUAGGAAUUAGUUACUAGAAUGUGCUUGUAGUCAAG
This is a long non-coding RNA of Rosa rugosa (rugosa rose), 1803 nucleotides long. RefSeq lists it as uncharacterized. The transcript is spliced from 4 exons. NCBI's taxonomy places the organism in Eukaryota, Viridiplantae, Streptophyta, Magnoliopsida, Rosales, Rosaceae. The record is from RefSeq and is a predicted model, not a curated record.